ACGAACGCUGGCGGCGUGCUUAACACAUGCAAGUCGAACGGAGAUUAUUAAUGAAGCUUGCGAUUUAAUAAUCUUAGUGGCGGACGGGUGAGUAACGCGUGGGCAACCUACCCAUAAGCGGGGGAUAACAGUCGGAAACGACUGCUAAUACCGCAUAAGCUAUUAAGGUCGCAUGACCUAAAUAGUAAAGGUGGCAUUUUAACAGUGCUAUCACUUAUGGAUGGGCCCACGUCUGAUUAGCUAGUUGGUGGGGUAGCAGCCUACCAAGGCAACGAUCAGUAGCCGGCCUGAGAGGGUGGACGGCCACACUGGGACUGAGACACGGCCCAGACUCCUACGGGAGGCAGCAGUGGGGAAUAUUGCGCAAUGGGGGAAACCCUGACGCAGCGACGCCGCGUGAGCGAAGAAGGCCUUAGGGUCGUAAAGCUCUGUUGUAAGGGACGAAUGUUUGUCUGGCGAACAGUCAGAUAAAGUGACGGUACCUUACCAGCAAGCCCCGGCUAACUACGUG
This 511-nucleotide ribosomal RNA is filed under the name uncultured bacterium. RNAcentral's name for it is "bacterial SSU rRNA". It matches the Rfam family "Bacterial small subunit ribosomal RNA", at positions 29 to 507 of the family's 1533-position model. The record is from RNAcentral.